This is a non-coding RNA of Vicugna pacos (alpaca), 163 nucleotides long. The record is from RefSeq and is a predicted model, not a curated record. NCBI's taxonomy places the organism in Eukaryota, Metazoa, Chordata, Mammalia, Artiodactyla, Camelidae.
GUCUGCCAUAAAUAAUACAGAACCAGAAAACCUACUUCAAAUAAUCAAAGAAAGAUAUCUGAGCUGAUUAAGUUCUGCCAACCAUGCAAGCUUAGAAAAUCAGGAAAGGAGUAAGUAGAGAAAAUAAAUUUCCAAAGACUAUUAAAUAAGUAUGGAGACGCUU